GGGUUGUGAGGUUAAGCGACUAAGCGUACACGGUGGAUGCCCUGGCAGUCAGAGGCGAUGAAGGACGUGCUAAUCUGCGAUAAGCGUCGGUAAGGUGAUAUGAACCGUUAUAACCGGCGAUUUCCGAAUGGGGAAACCCAGUGUGUUUCGACACACUAUCAUUAACUGAAUCCAUAGGUUAAUGAGGCGAACCGGGGGAACUGAAACAUCUAAGUACCCCGAGGAAAAGAAAUCAACCGAGAUUCCCCCAGUAGCGGCGAGCGAACGGGGAGGAGCCCAGAGUCUGAAUCAGUGUGUGUGUUAGUGGAAGCGUCUGGAAAGGCGCGCGAUACAGGGUGACAGCCCCGUACACAAAAAUGCACAUACUGUGAGCUCGAUGAGUAGGGCGGGACACGUGGUAUCCUGUCUGAAUAUGGGGGGACCAUCCUCCAAGGCUAAAUACUCCUGACUGACCGAUAGUGAACCAGUACCGUGAGGGAAAGGCGAAAAGAACCCCGGCGAGGGGAGUGAAAAAGAACCUGAAACCGUGUACGUACAAGCAGUGGGAGCACGCUUAGGCGUGUGACUGCGUACCUUUUGUAUAAUGGGUCAGCGACUUAUAUUCUGUAGCAAGGUUAACCGAAUAGGGGAGCCGAAGGGAAACCGAGUCUUAACUGGGCGUUAAGUUGCAGGGUAUAGACCCGAAACCCGGUGAUCUAGCCAUGGGCAGGUUGAAGGUUGGGUAACACUAACUGGAGGACCGAACCGACUAAUGUUGAAAAAUUAGCGGAUGACUUGUGGCUGGGGGUGAAAGGCCAAUCAAACCGGGAGAUAGCUGGUUCUCCCCGAAAGCUAUUUAGGUAGCGCCUCGUGAAUUCAUCUCCGGGGGUAGAGCACUGUUUCGGCAAGGGGGUCAUCCCGACUUACCAACCCGAUGCAAACUGCGAAUACCGGAGAAUGUUAUCACGGGAGACACACGGCGGGUGCUAACGUCCGUCGUGAAGAGGGAAACAACCCAGACCGCCAGCUAAGGUCCCAAAGUCAUGGUUAAGUGGGAAACGAUGUGGGAAGGCCCAGACAGCCAGGAUGUUGGCUUAGAAGCAGCCAUCAUUUAAAGAAAGCGUAAUAGCUCACUGGUCGAGUCGGCCUGCGCGGAAGAUGUAACGGGGCUAAACCAUGCACCGAAGCUGCGGCAGCGACGCUUAUGCGUUGUUGGGUAGGGGAGCGUUCUGUAAGCCUGUGAAGGUGUGCUGUGAGGCAUGCUGGAGGUAUCAGAAGUGCGAAUGCUGACAUAAGUAACGAUAAAGCGGGUGAAAAGCCCGCUCGCCGGAAGACCAAGGGUUCCUGUCCAACGUUAAUCGGGGCAGGGUGAGUCGACCCCUAAGGCGAGGCCGAAAGGCGUAGUCGAUGGGAAACAGGUUAAUAUUCCUGUACUUGGUGUUACUGCGAAGGGGGGACGGAGAAGGCUAUGUUGGCCGGGCGACGGUUGUCCCGGUUUAAGCGUGUAGGCUGGUUUUCCAGGCAAAUCCGGAAAAUCAAGGCUGAGGCGUGAUGACGAGGCACUACGGUGCUGAAGCAACAAAUGCCCUGCUUCCAGGAAAAGCCUCUAAGCAUCAGGUAACAUCAAAUCGUACCCCAAACCGACACAGGUGGUCAGGUAGAGAAUACCAAGGCGCUUGAGAGAACUCGGGUGAAGGAACUAGGCAAAAUGGUGCCGUAACUUCGGGAGAAGGCACGCUGAUAUGUAGGUGAAGUCCCUUGCGGAUGGAGCUGAA
RNAcentral lists this ribosomal RNA (1754 nucleotides) under Escherichia coli. RNAcentral's name for it is "partial 23S ribosomal RNA". It matches the Rfam family "Bacterial large subunit ribosomal RNA", at positions 1 to 1781 of the family's 2925-position model. The record is from RNAcentral. Lineage: Bacteria; Pseudomonadati; Pseudomonadota; Gammaproteobacteria; Enterobacterales; Enterobacteriaceae.